Molecule: ribosomal RNA, 494 nt
Filed under: Helenozyma melibiosica
Lineage: Eukaryota; Fungi; Ascomycota; Pichiomycetes; Serinales; Metschnikowiaceae
Description: [Candida] melibiosica partial large subunit ribosomal RNA
Rfam family: Eukaryotic large subunit ribosomal RNA
Source: RNAcentral
GCGAGUGAGCGGCAAAAGCUCAAUUUUGAAAUCCCCCCGGGGAGUUGUAAUUUGAAGACUAGGGGAUUUGGCCCAAACCUGCGCAAGUCCAUUGGAACAUGGCGCCCAAGAGGGUGAGAGCCCCGUCGCGCAGGCCGCAGCCUUGACAUCCCCCCGUCAAAGAGUCGAGUUGUUUGGGAAUGCAGCUCAAAGUGGGUGGUAAAUUCCAUCUAAAGCUAAAUAUUGGCGAGAGACCGAUAGCGAACAAGUACAGUGAUGGAAAGAUGAAAAGCACUUUGAAAAGAGAGUGAAACAGUACGUGAAAUUGUUGAAAGGGAAGGGCUUGCAAGCAGACACGAGUUCGCUCGGGCCAGCAUCAAUUUCGCGAGGUGGACAACACGCCAGGAAUGUGGCAGGCUCCGGCCUGUGUUAUAGCCUGCGCGCCAUACACCUCCGCGAGAUUGAGGCCUGCUCCAAAAGGAUGCUGGCGUAAUGGUUGCAAGUCGCCCGUCUUG